GCGGUGGAGCAUGUGGUUUAAUUCGAAGCAACGCGAAGAACCUUACCAGGUCUUGACAUCCCUGACAACCAGAGAUUGGGCGUUCCCCUUCGGGGGACAGGGUGACGGGUGGUGCAUGGUUGUCGUCAGCUCGUGUCGUGAGAUGUUGGGUUAAGUCCCGCAACGAGCGCAACCCUCGCCUCUAGUUGCCAGCAUUCGGUUGGGCACUCUAGAGGGACUGCCGGCGACAAGUCGGAGGAAGUGGGAUGACGUCAAAUCAUCAUGCCCCUUAUGACCUGGGCUACACACGUGCUACAAUGGGCGGUACAAAGGGCUGCGAACCCGCGAGGGGGAGCGAAUCCCAAAAAGCCGCUCUCAGUUCGGAUUGCAGGCUGCAACUCGCCUGCAUGAAGCCGGAAUCGCUAGUAAUCGCGGAUCAGCAUGCCGCGGUGAAUACGUUCCCGGGCCUU
RNAcentral lists this ribosomal RNA (449 nucleotides) under uncultured Geobacillus sp. RNAcentral's name for it is "bacterial SSU rRNA". It matches the Rfam family "Bacterial small subunit ribosomal RNA", at positions 929 to 1382 of the family's 1533-position model. Lineage: Bacteria; Bacillati; Bacillota; Bacilli; Caryophanales; Anoxybacillaceae. The record is from RNAcentral.